CUAAAGUGCAAACACUAUGUCAACUGUACUUUGUCGUUUUCUGAAGCCGUGUUUAUUCUUUGGUAGACAGUCCUGUUCAAUGUGCAGCAUCGAGUGGUGAAACAGGAUUGUUGUUACAGCUAAGCCUUGACUGGACGGUUUGAUGGACCAUCUCUGACAGAUGAAAAUGUAUUUGAUUUAAAUGAACAGUAACAGUUGUCACCAACCAUGGAUACCCGAUAACAACUUGGAUUGAUUCCUGGGCAGAAUGUGUGAAUGAUAUAGAGGCAGAAAGUCCCCAGGCUGGAAGAAUCAGGAUCUGGGUCUCUAACUUUGAAGAGACCAUGAAGAUCAUCCCAUCUCAGACGGCCAGACAAUGCCAAGACGCCAUUGAUCACCAGUUCUGACAACAAAGCCAGCUCUUCUGCAGCCAUUAAUUCUGAGCUGGCUUGAGUGGCACUUCUGAUUCUCAACUGGUGCAUUGUGCUUUCUUCCUUUUCAGGGAGACAAAGAUGCGGCUUGGACUGUUUUUCAAAAACCAAAGAGUUACCUGUAUUAUGUUCCGUUCAUCAAUUUAAAUUAAAAGAAAAUUUAAAAAUAGUAACUUAUAUGGACAAGUCAGGUAGGGCAGCAUUGGAGAAGAAUGAUUCCUGAUUUGUUAUUGGCUUCACCACUUUGCACACUACUAUAUUCCACUCACCAAGUGAAUCGUCACUCCACCGAAUCCAACUUGAUACAAAUCACAUAACCUGAACCAUGCAAUACCCAAAUCUGGCAUGGUUUGACUCUGUACCUGUAAAAUAAUUAUACUUCUAUUUGUUAAUGUCAGUUAACCUUA
Long non-coding RNA from Stegostoma tigrinum, 817 nucleotides. RefSeq lists it as uncharacterized. The record is from RefSeq and is a predicted model, not a curated record. The transcript is spliced from 4 exons. NCBI's taxonomy places the organism in Eukaryota, Metazoa, Chordata, Chondrichthyes, Orectolobiformes, Stegostomatidae.